GAGAAUUUAGUAGUACAUUUGUUUUUUUUUUGUAACAAAUGUAAAAUAUUACCAUAACAAAACCGUCUCAGUACAAAUACAGAGCACCUCAUCCUAUCAUAGGGGUAGGCCUCCAACAAGCAGCAACAGCAACCAAAUAUAACAUCUACAUUAGCUAACUAAGUGUUGAAUCCAAUUCCUACAUCUCUGAGCUUUCUUUGAAUUCCUGUGCAAAUUAAUCCUCUCUAAGAGCUCCUUCUUAAUCAUUGUAAUUACCUCAUCUAUAUUUACAGCUUUGCCUUUGUAUCUCUUCCAGUUUCGGGCCCUCCAUGUAUGAUAGAUUAUGGCACCAUGUAAAGCUGCAACCGCCUCUUUCAUGAAUUUCUUCCAGUGCUUCCUUUGUAUAUUGAUCAAGACUUGUUGUACAUCCUUAUGUUGCACUGCCACUCCAGUCCAUUGGUUGACUUUGUGCCACACUUCCCAUAUCCAGGAACAUUCUACAAACAAAUGAAUCUUCGUCUCUAUCUCAUUGGCCUCACAAAGACAACAAUCGGCAUUAGCGUUAUCCACCGGUAUGUUUAGCCGUAUAUUCCUUUCCCGAGUGAGUAAUCUACCUUGUACUUCCAACCAUACUAUGAAUCUAUGUUUUGGUAAAGCAACAGAUGUCCAUAUCAGUUCUGCAACUCUCAUUUUAACUCUUUGCAGUAUUAUUUCCAUAUAACUCUUUGUUAUUGAGUAGGCUCCAUCCUUUGUUAAUUCUUAUCUACCUUGCACAUACCAACUCUGCAUUUAAGUCUUUAGAGAAUUUAGUUUUCUCCAAUACCAGCUGCUGUCAGGAGGAUACUUGCAUCAUCCUUGAGGUACAACCCGUGUAUCCACCUUACCCAGAGUGUCUCCUUGUGCAUUGAAAUUUGCCAAAUCAGUUGGUCUACUGAUGCUACAUUCCAUGAUUUACAGCCUUUUAUAUUCAGUCCACCCUGACUCUUAGGAUAAAAUACAUUUUCCCAUGAUGCCAAAGCCAUCUUCCUCCCUUCAUCCUUGCUUCCCCACAAAUAAUCUCUACACUUUUUAUCUACUUCUUUAAGUACACUUUGAGGAAGGAUAAAAACAGCUCCCCAAAAACUAUGGAUAGAAAAUAAUACUGUAUUUAUCACCUGUAACCUCCCAGCAUAAGACAAAUUUUUGGAGUAAGUCACAUUGAUUCUCUGUAUAAUCUUGUCCACGAGUGUAUGGCAAUCAACCUUGUUCCAUUUUUAGGAGAAAGAGGGAGACCAAGAUAUCUGAUAGGAAAUGCACCUUCUACAAAUCUAGUUCUUGCCAAUAUCUGAUUCUUUAUUUCCUCAUUUACUCCAGCCAGAAACACACUUGAUUUGUCAAUAUUAGCUUCCAAACAUGUAGCUGCACUAAAGUGUUGUAAAGCCUCCAUUAUUCUACUCACAGAAUCUAUAUUUCCCUUACAGAAUAUCAUCAAAUCAUUAGCAAAGAUCAAGUGAGUUAGUCUUAACUCCUUACACAUUGGAUGGAAUCUGAAAUCAGGUAACAUGCUUAUAGUUUGCAGUGUUCUCGAUAGGUAUUCCAUCUCUAGGACAAAUAAGAGGGGAGACAUUGGAUCGCCUUGCCUAAGCCCCCUCCCCCUAAGAAGUAGCCAUGAUUUGCACCAUUAACUUUCACUGAGAACUUAGUGGUUGACACAUAUGUCAUAAUCCAUUUAGUAAACUAUUACAGAAAUCGGAAACCUUGAAGUACUUCUUCCAAGAAAUCCCAGUGUACCAUGUCAUAGGCUUUCUUAAGGUCUAUCUUCACAAGACACCUAGGUAAAGCAUUCUUCCUAUUGUAGUGUCAUAGUAAGUCAUGACAUAUUAACACAUUAUGCAUCAUUGAUCGUUCCUUAACAAAGACUGACUGGUUCCCUGCUACUAAAUAGUUUACUGCAUCUCUUAACCUUUUAUAUAUAAUCUUUGAGAUGCACUUGUAGAUCACAUGGCAACAAGAUAUAGGCCGGAAUUGGCUAGCAGUUUUCAGCCUAUCUACUUUAGGAACAAGUGCAAUACUAGUAGAGUUAAUUUGUGUUAAUAGUUUACCAUUAUGAAAGAACUCCAGCACUGCCUUGGUUACAUCAUUCCCAAAAAUUGUCCAAGCAGCUUUGUAGAAUUCACUACCAUAUCCAUCCAGUCCCGAACUCUUGACACUUUUUAUCUGGAAAAUAGCUUCCUUUACCUCAUCUGACUCAACCUGCAAUAACAUCUGCCUUUGGUGCUCAUUAUCAAGGACUACACCUUGGUUUAUAACUGCAAGUAAUGCAGAUGUUCUAUUCUUUGAUCUCUGACCCAAUAAUUCUUUGUAAUAAUCAACAAAUAAGCUUGCAAUAGUGUCAGGAUUUGUCUGCCAAUCACCUACCUGAUUUUUUAGUUGUGUAAUGGUUUGUUUCAGUUUUUGAUGUUUGAUAACAGAGAAUAAAUAUCUUGAAUUAUCAUCACCCAUUCUUAUCCAAGUUGCCUCGCUUCUUUGUUGUAAGAACACCUCAGCUAUAUAUGAAGAAUUCCUAAAUUUUUUAUAUGUUUGUCUCUCUCUUUCCAGCAAAUGAGCAUCAUCUGGGCUAAGAUGUAGUUUAUUCUGUAUAAGUUUCAAAUUAUUCUUGUCCUUUUGUGCUUCAGUGACUAUAUUUUGGAAAGCCAGAACAUGUAGCUUCCUCAAGCCCCUCUUUAACAAUAUCAACCUCUUCACUACUUUAAACACCAUGCAUCCUUCAUUAUCCACCUCCCAUCCCUCAUUCACCAACCAAAUGAAGUAAGGAUGUUUGGUCCAUACAUUACAGAACUGGAAUGGACUCUUGAACUUAGGAUUAUCCAUUAACAUCACCUUAGCAAGACAGUGAUCACUUAUUCCCUCAUUUAGGAACAUUGCUUGACAAGGUAGCAUUGUAUUCAACCAGACUCCAUUAAUGAAUAUCCAGUCAAUUCUGGAAAAUAUUCUUUGGUGAGAAUGUUUGUCACUCCAUGUAUAUUUAUUACCUGGUGUUGGAAAUUCCAGCAGCCCACAAUCAUGCACACAACUUUUAAAAUCAACUAUUUCAGACCAUACCACAGGAGCUUCACCAAUUCUAUCCUCUGCUUUUAAAAUGGAGUUAAAAUCGCCAAGUAGCAUCCAUGGUUUUGUGCAAAUUCUACUAUGUCUCACUAGACUUUCCCAUAACUCAUGCCUUUCCUCCUUAGUAUUGAAGGCAUAUACGAAUGGAAUAUCAAAAAGUAUUUGCAAGGGAAUGAACAUCACCUCACAAGUGAUUUGUUGAGCAGUUUGGAAAAUGGUUGAGACCUUGUAGUAAUCAGGCCUCCAUGUGAUCCAUAUCCUACCAUUAUAGAGCUCUUCCAAGUUAGUUACGUAGCUCCAACCAGCAAACAUAUUAUCAGUCAUAGUAUCAAUCUUUUUUUUUGUUUCAAGUAAGCCUAUAAGACUCACAUUUUCUUCAUUGCAAAGGAUCUUAACCUCUUUUUGUUUAUUUGGAGCAUUUAGCCCCCUCACAUUACAACUAAUUAUGUUUACCAUUCCCAGGACUAGGAUUUAUAGAGCCACCCUCGGUCCUUGCAUCUCAUGUAGUUACAUGUAAUUCUGCACUAUGUUGUAGCACCUGAAAUGAAUUAACACUCGUUGCCUGACAAACCUGUCCAACGGCUACACUGUAUGGAGUUUUACUUAGCUUUCUCGGAGUCUGCCAGCUAUCUAUGCUUGCACUUGCCACCUCCCUACCCUGCUGAAGGUUCUUCUUAGUCAUUUGAUUUGUCAACACCCUAUCCUGAUUAUCAUUUUUCACCUCAUGUGGAGGAUCCUGCUGAGCAGGUCCUUUCGUAACUACACCUGCAACAUUAAUUGGUUUGGGAACUUUUUUCUUAAUUCUGCAUUCAUUCUCUUCAUAGCCAUACCUCUUACGAAAGUUGCACAAUAAUGGUUUCCAGUCAUAUUGUACAGCUUGCACCACGACCUUUCCUUUUUUAUUUUUAAAUUGCACUUCAUCAGGUAGAUGAGCUCCCAAUUCUACUUCCACAAGCAGUCGAGCAAACUUUAAUCCAUUCCUUUCCUCAGUUUUGUGAUCCACCAUAAGAGGCUUCCCAAUCAUACUUCCAAGUUUACUUAGUACUGAUUUACUCCAAUAUUUAAAAUCUAGCUCCGGAAAUUUGAUCCAGAUUGGGAUAGUUUCCAACUCCUCCUUGGUAAAUUCUAAUUUUGGAGACCACUCCUUGACAAUUAAUGGCUUGUUGUCAAAGUGGUAGAUACCUCCUUGUAAUACCUCUUGUUUCCCUAUCACAGUUUCAACUCGUACUACAAUAACUCCAUUCUUCAACAUAGCUACUCGAUCUAUAUCAUAUUUACCCCCAAAGCCUUUGAAUAUAACGUUGAAUUACCUGGAAUGGUGGGUGUGCCCCCAAAACAUAACGAAUCACUGCUCUACUCUAGUAUUCCACCUUAUAUUUGAUGUCCUCCAUUCCAAUUUCUACUAUCUGCCUAUCUCCAACCUGUGAUGGAGCACAUACUCCAAUUUGUAACCUGCAUUAGCCAAUUUUAAGAUAUUGAAAUUAUCCCAAAUUGACUUCUUCCUAUUCAUCAACUUACUCUCCUCUUCUACUUCAUCUUCCCAGGAACAUUUACUGGCACUUGAUGAUGCCUCCAGUAGCAUACUAGUUGAUCUCGUCACUACUUCACUCCAAAUAGAUGUUGCCUCUCUCUGCUGCAUUUUAUCAGUUACUUUAUUAGCAUGCACUGUUCCAUUGAAUUGCUCCAAUACUGUUUUAUUGAUUUCCUUCGAGUUGUUCCUUCGCAGCUCCAUGGACGAUGAACUGCUCAUUCCUAGAUUAGGGGAGGCUAGGACUUGCUUUGUCCUCAAUUCUCCCGUCCCUUUUGAACCUACUGAUUUGAUGCUUGAAUCCACCAAUUGUGGUAUCAUUUCUUCUUCUUUUGCUUUUUUUGAGUGCUUGCAACUUCCCUCGCUGAGAUGCGCCUUGCAUAAUCUGUGCUUUCUUUACCAUUAGAGCUUUAUGAGAGGGUAAACGACCUCUCUUACCCAUGGUGGGUGCAGGUUUAGCUAACUUGCACCAAGAGAGAAAGCAUACCAGUAGAAAUUCACAUUAAUUACUUAUUCUUCGAAUAAAAACAUACAUUUGUUAUUACUUUGAUGAUCAUAAUAAAAUAUACAAAGGUGACUAUUUAUAAACCAUCAAAUUUAGUUCUAAGGUUAUCAAACUUGAUUUCAAAUUAGCAAGUUGACAAAUAGACAAGUUGGCAAUUUGGCCAACUAAUUAAGUAUUCAAAUCCAAUUUAAACAAGUAAUUUAUGGUCUUCAAAUCCAACUUGACUACUAACUAUUAUCUCUAAUAAAUGACAUUUCACACAUAUACAUGUCACAUGACAUCCAUAUUAUAUAACACUCCUCCUUGGAUGUCCAUUUAUAAAUAAUGUGUCUCGUUAAAACCUUACUAGAAAAAUUCAAUGAGAAAAAGCCUAAUAAAGGAAAAAGAGUACACACAUCUUGUAAUACGCCUUUGGUGUUGCCUCAUUAAAAAUCUUACUAGAAAAAUCCGAUUAGGACAAAACCUUGGUUAAGGAAAAAAAGUACAAAAUGUAUUUUACUCCCCCUGAUGAGAACUUCAGUUUAAUGACUUGAAUUUUUACAUCCCGAUCUUGUGCAUCAUCUUCUUAAAAUUUGCAGCUGAAAGAGACUUGGUGAAUAAAUCAAUCAUACUGCCAUUCGAAUAAAUUUAUUGCACGUUAAUAUCAUCAUUCUUUUGUAGAUCAUGUGUAUAGAAAUUUUUUGAUGGAGUGUGCUUCAUUCUAUCUCUUUUUAAUGAAUCCUCCUUUAAGAUGUGUUAUGCAUGCUGUAUUAUCUUUGUAUAAAAUUGUGGGUACAUUGUCAUAUUUCAAACAAUAUUUUUUUCGAAUGAGAUGUAUCAUGAACCUCAACCAUACACAUUCUCGGCUUGCUUCAUGAAUAACUAUUAACUCAGCAUGAUUUGAUGAAGUGCUUGAUAGUCUGCUUUGUAUAUCUCCAAGAUAUGACAGUAUCCCCAUAUGUCAAUAUAUUGCAUGUUUGAGAUCGAAAUUUAUGUGGGUUAAAUAAAUACCCAGCAUCAAUAUAAUCAACAAGAUCGGGAUUGCAAUCUUUAGAAUAAAAUAAGAUUAUGUGUUUGAUCCCAUUUCGAUGUUUUCUAGUAGGAGCAGAAUUAUACCUUGCUAACAAAUUAAUCGAAAAGGGCUAUGUCAGGCCUUGCAGUAUUUGCAGGAUACACUAGUACAUCAAUUGCACUAAGAUAUGGUACUUCAUAACCAAUUAAAUUUGGCAUAUUUCUUAUGUCAGCAAAUAAUCUAUUGCUUUUGAAAACUCUCAAAGAGUUCGAAUAAUUUUCAAGUUAUAGAUUUAUGCAAUAUAAGGAUUAUAGAUAAGUUUCCCAGAAACUUUUAUAUGCUUCAAACAUUUUGUAUCCUUAACAAGUUUUCAUGUAAAUUUUGUCAAGUGACAAUAUUCAGCAUUUCAUCCGUGACUAGAAUAAAAUAAGAUUAUGUGUUUGAUCCCAUUUCGAUGUUUCAAGAUGCAUUCUUUUAUGUCUUUUCAACGUAUGUUCAUCAAUGGACAAAUAUUUCAUUUGUCAAGCACUCCUAGUAUACAUCAAGUAGUACGCAUUGUUAGCUGCCUCAUUAAAAACCUUGCCAGGAAAAUCCUGUGGAAUAAAACCCCAGCUAAGGAAAAAAAAGUGCAGCGCACGUAUUAUACUCGCAUCGUUUAAAACAUACUUUAUUCUUAUAAAUGAUGCUCCGCAAUUCAUAUGUACACCAACUGCACUAAAACAUAGUACUUACCAAUCAUUUUCAUGAGAUCAAAAUUGAUCUGUUUUCAAGUUAAGCGAUCUUUAUAAUCAUGGGGUAUUCAAUAGAAACGCUUUAUAACCUUUUAAAUCCUUCAAGGAUUUUCAUAUAACUUUUGCCCUCUAGGUAGACAUAAUAAUAAUUUAUUUUAUGUAUUCAAGUUUUUUAAUAUUUUCAGACUGAAAUCAACUUUAUUUCAUCCACCACAGCCACAGGAGAACAAUUCUCCUACAAUAAUGCCAGGAACUUUGUGAAAUCUUUAUGCCCCAAGGCACAAGUCAUAUUUUAUAUCUUACGAAUUUUACUUCUCGCAUAAUAAAUCAUUUGUACCUCACUGCAUUAUACCUCUGGUCUUUGGAUUAUGAGUCCAGAUAUUUAUUUUUUAAGUGAAACAAAUUACUUGAAUUACAUACUUUUAUUUGGCCAAUAAUUUAUCUGUCCAUACUCUUUGACAGAUUUGUAUCCAAGAUCCUCAAUACUAUUUAUAAUGUUGAGCAUUAUAUUAUAUCAAAGAUAUCAUCGAUGAUUGUUUGAUAUUGGUUCCAAUAAGACAUAACUUAAUGAAGAUCUCUUCAUAUUCAUUACUAUUCAGGUACCUGAACCUUUGUCAAGGUUUUAUGAAGUGUUAGGUCGGUUUGAAACCAAUUGGUCUAUCACGCUUCAGGCGUGUCAUAGACUCCGUCCUUUUACGGACUUUUCAUUGGAGCAUUUUACGGUUGAAUUAUCAUAUAGAAUUAGCAAACAUAUCUGACAAUUAGUUUGCAACAUUUUGCAAAUGAAUUAUCUCUUAAACUUCAAGUUCACAUAUAUAUUUUUUAUAAGGAUCUAGAUAAUUCAUUUCAUGCAUAACUUUUAACUAUUAAUCAAAUCUCCUCCUAAUGUUAGGAAACCUAACAUUUAUCCCUAAUCUUAUCUUGAAAUUCAUAUUUGUGCAUUGUGAUGAAGCAAUUGCAUCAUGUGCCGCACAAUGAAAUUUUUAGAUGAAAAUUAUUUGGUUCUUGACCUUGAACUAAUAGUGGUAGGGGAGCCUUGUUGGCUUGAUGCAUAUGAAUGCUACUAUAUUUUAAAUGAUACAUCUCAUACCAAAUUUUUUUGAGGAGAUUUGUUCUAAUAAUCAAUGAUUUAGCUAGAAUUGGAGGCAUACAAUUUCUACUAAACCAACCAGCAUUAUCAACAUAAUUUAUAGUUUGGAACCAUGCUCUUAAUUUAAUAAUUCAAGCAAACAACUUUGCAAAAAUCAAAUUGCAAGUUAAUAGAAAAGCACAUGUGAUCAUAUCAUAGAUGCAUCUAUUAAACUAUAUAAUAGUAAUCGGUCCACAUGGCAGGCGAACGGACCCAUAUUCACCUUUUUAUAUGUUCCAAAAAAUUUAGGGAAUACAUCUCAACCUUUGCUGGUACAAUGAUCAAUUCAUUGUGAGAACAAACAGUACAAGAGAAUUCAUGAAGAAUAUUUUAUUUCUUCAAUAUAUAACCACAUGAAUUCUUAAUUAUUUUUGCAUCAAAUUUCAAUCGGGAUGAUCAACCGUCAUGUCAACUAAUAUUUAUUUCAGUAAAUUUUUAAUUUACCAUUGCAUGUGAUUCUGCCAUCAUGCUCAUAUUUGUGUAUUACAAAUAAGAAGAAAAGCGCGGAUAACCUUUUACGUAAAUAUUUAUAACCCAUGCCGAUUGUAGUAAUAUGAAGAUAUAACAUCUUUCUACUAUUUAUAGUCUCAAAAAAAAUUAUUUUUGGCAAUGUCUUUGAAACUUAAUAAGGUUCUUUCGAGACUUACUACAAUACCAAUAUUAUGAACAAUUUCAUUUCUCCAGAUAGUUACACUGAAGCUCUUUUAGAGCUCUCAAUUAAUUUUGUUUACUACACAUAUUUCACACUCAAUUCAUAUGGUGAACAUCUCCUUCAAGGAGAAAAAUCAUAUAAGUACGAUCAUAAUCUUAAAACAUUAUAUAGGCAAGACUUGUCCAUGAUAAACAUAUCAAAAAUAUUUAUGCCAUACUACAAGUACACGAUCAAUGACCGUUUAUGUCAAAAUAAAUUUUUCUUUAUUUUUCUCAAACCUUCCAUAGAGGUGAGAUAUGACAUUUUUCCAACCAUGCACGAGCAUGUCAGUGUUCAUAGUUUUUAUCAUAUCUUGACACAUUCAUUUAAAUAAUGAUCAAGCAUUAAGGAUGUGCAAAUCUCAUUCUCUUCAAGGAAUGAGUUAUAAUCAUAUGUGCAUGCAUCAUAAAUUUUCAUGAGAAGCCCAUUCUCACGCCAUGAAAUUUAUUACAUUUACAUGACAGACCUUAUCAUCACUUUGAAAGGUCAAGUGCGCCAUCACUUUAUAUUUCUUUGUUUUGAUGGAGGAUUUAUAAAUCUUAUAUCAAAUUAGGUCGCACGAUAAUCACGUGUGCAAUGACCUUUCACACCAUGCCCAUUAGUGGCAAAAAUUACCUUUAUAUUUUGAAGGAUCAUUUGAGAACUCAUAAUGUUCUUCGAAGAAUAUAACCUUCUAAUUCUUUAAGCACAUCUUCGAGAUGGACAAAUCGUUUAUGCCAACUUAUGAACUUAUUUGUACUAGUAAACUCCAAGUUUACCAUGACAUAUGAGUUUUACUUAGUAUAUUUCAGAUUUACUAGAACAUGAAUAAUUUUCAAGUUUGCUAUUUUGGAGUAUAUUUCAUAAUAUUUAUUCUUAAUUAUUCUAUCUUUUAGGGAGGUGUUACUCCUAUCACAUUCACCCCAGGGAAUGGAUCUGUAGUUUUAACAAUUAAAAUUCUCAUUUCCCAGGAAUGAAAUAUAACGAUGUCUUAAGCCUAUCAAAUUAUGAUAGCUUAGAAUAUCCUUCAAGAUAUUGCUCCUUCAUGAGAAAAGCGAGGCGUACAUAUAAUGUAACGAAAUAUUUUGUCCUUGUUACGCCUCUAUUCAUAUUCAUAUAUUCAAUCACAUGUUUUCUGUAACACCCCGUACUUAAUUACGUGCAUUAGCCAUUGUUAUAUGUGUUGGAGUAUAUGUAUUGAUCCUAAGUUAGGUAUAUAUGAGUUUAAGUAUGAGUAUUGAUUAUUUUGAGAUGGUUUCAAGUGUAUAGUUUGAUUAUAGGUGUAUAGGAAUCGACUUUAUUUAUACCGGAAUUUGCUCGUCGAAGUUUCGAUGGUUCCAUACGAAGGUUAUUGAAUAAGCUUUCCAACGAUAUAAAGAUUUCCAAAAACGGAUAAGUUUCGGAUAUAAGCGAGCUCGUUCGAAACUUUAAAACGGUGGCCGGGAUGUGAACAGUAAAUGUGCAGGAAAACUACUGAGGCCUGCCAGUUUUUUGGGUCAACUUUGAACGAUCAUAACUCCCUCAAUAUAAUGAACUGGGAGAGCUACCACAUAUCAAAAGAAAGAUCUUUGAGUCUUUUUUCCAAUGCAAUUGGUUUCAUCCAAAUCCAACAUCUGAGUAAGGAUUUAUACUCGUUUUACUUCAGCCUCUCAAAACAGAUUUUUAGGGUCAACUUCAAACGAUCAUAACUCCUUGUACAGGACGAACUGGGUGGUCUACUUUAUAUGAAAUGAAAUUCCUUUGAAUUAUCUUUCCAACCAAUUUCACCCAAAUCCGAUAUCGGAGCAAAGAGUUAUGGCCGAUUUACUUUAGCCUAUCAAAACAGUCCACCAUGGACAGAUUCGGAUUUACUUAAAUUUUUAAGGGCAAUAUGGUCAUUUUCCAUCACCUCAUGGACGAAAAUUGGUCAUUAUAUACAUAUACUUAGCCUUAUAUCCACCAUUUAUCAUCCAAAUCAUUGAAGAAUAAGAAACCCUAGCCUAAGUUCAACUCCAAUUAUCUUGUGAUUCAACCGUAGAAAAUCCAAAUUGAUUCCGUAGUUGUGUUCACCGUCUCAAGGGCUUCGAGAAGCACCCCUUAUUUGUGCCAACAGGACUUCGAAAUCAAAAGGGCCAUUUUUUUGGUAAGGAUGUAAAUUAUGUUGGUGUUAUUUAUAUGGAUAUGUAUAUAUAUAUAUGCAUGUGAGCAUAAGAAGUAUGUUAUUUGAUUGUUGUUGAAAGAUGAUUGGAAAUGAUGUUGGAUUAUUCUUGUGCAUGGUUGGAUUAUGUUAAAUUGUGAAGGAAUUUGGGGUGAUGAUGUGGUAUUGAUGAUGUGGUAUUGAAAUGAUGAUUAUAUAUAUAUACACACAUAAACCUAUUGUUCAAGUUGGUUUUUGGAAUGUUUUGCAAAUAUUGGUAGUAUGGAAUUAUGGAAGAGAAUUGUGGUGUUGGGUUGCUAAUACUAGAUGCCAAACAUUUCAUUGUAGAUAAGUGAUUUGUAAAGGCGGGAAGUUGUGUUGAAUUGGUAUCUGAAUCUACAACGAGGUAUGUAAAGCAUACUCUAACAAUGUUCUUUGGCAUGAAAACACCAAUGUUCCAUCAAGUAAGAUUCCGAGGUUGUCCAAAAACAUGUAUUGUUCUACGUUACCAACGAAGUUGUUUCCAUUCUAUAAAGUGUCAAAAUGUUUCAUUGAUAUACCAAAAGGCUCUUAUUUCAUUGUUGUGAUAUUGAUGAUUCUGAAACACAUUGUUGAUGUACCAAUGAGUCUUUAUUACAUCGUUAUUGUAUAGAAGGUCUAUUACUUGGUUCCUAUUGAUGUAUCAUUGUUUCAAAGUAUCAAAAAUGUGGUGGCGACCGAAAUAACAAUCUCAAAGAUUAAUUGAACUAAGUGAUGGAAGUUCUCUCUUAUCGGGUGGUAUCCCAGGGGCAUAAGCCUAGCAUGGGUCGAUCCCUAUUUAUGUGUUUAUGGGUGGUAUCCCAGGGGCAUAAGCCUAGCAUGGGUCGAUCCCAGUUGAUAUGUACUGGAGGCAUCCUAAUGGUCACAGUACAGUACAGUAAUGAUUACAAAGACGAUAAGAACGAAGGUAAAGUGAUUGAAUAAAUACAAUGUACAGGUUGUCACAAGUUCUAGUAAGUGUGGUCCACUCCUAUUACGACUUAUUCACUUGUUUCUGAUUUCUAUUGAGCUCCUAUAUCAUAUGUGAUUAUUUACAGCUUUACAUACUCAGUACAUAUUUCGUACUGACGUCCCUCACGGGGGACCUGCAUUUCAUGCUGCAGGCACAGGUACCUCAGCUCAUACACCGCACAAGUAGGAGCCAGGUCAUACAGCUAUUGUUGGUGAGCUCCAGUUUGCUUCGGAGCUUUCCGAGUCGGUUCCUUAUGUUUUGUUAUUGUACAUGAGUCAUGUGUGGGCGGGGGUUUGUCCCGACCCUAGUUAUGUCAUGUAUAUCCUAGAGGCUUUGUAGACAUAAGGAAGGGUAAAGUCAUGGAAGUUUAUAUAGUGAUGUUAUAUCUGUAUAUGUGGUGGCCCC
RNAcentral lists this long non-coding RNA (12132 nucleotides) under Capsicum annuum. Its description in RNAcentral is "long non-coding RNA (CANN_LNC013084)". The record is from RNAcentral. Lineage: Eukaryota; Viridiplantae; Streptophyta; Magnoliopsida; Solanales; Solanaceae.